This is a long non-coding RNA of Monopterus albus (swamp eel), 884 nucleotides long. RefSeq lists it as uncharacterized. Lineage: Eukaryota; Metazoa; Chordata; Actinopteri; Synbranchiformes; Synbranchidae. The transcript is spliced from 2 exons. The record is from RefSeq and is a predicted model, not a curated record.
UCCUUCUAAAUCUGUGUCCAAUUUGAUUUUUUUCAGCAGACAGAGUGGGCAUGUCCCUCAUGCACUUUCAUCAACAAGCCGUCUCGUCCAGGCUGCGAAAUCUGUGCCACAGCCAGACCUGACACACACAUCCAGCAGGAGAAAGGCAGGAGAGAGGACAGAGGAGAGCCUGGUUUAAGCAGCAGCUGACUGCCCAGCACUGCGCUCUGGUUGACAAUUCUCACUCAGACACCCAUACACACACAUGCACACAGAGUGAGGAUGUUAAAUCUGCCACUUACAUGUUGACAAAAUACUCAAAGACUGUCAAGUGCACUGAGAGUCCUCUGACAGCUGGCUGGCCUCUGGAGACUGGAGCGUUUGAAGCACUGUAGCAUGACAGAGGCUCAGACGAUGAACUUGCAGACAGAGCAUGUUAGCUUUGACUGUUGAUGUGGACAUGACCAUGACAUCUUAAUUUGGCCAGACCUCUUUCUUAUUUAUAUUGUUGUCUGUGUGUGUGUGUGUGUGGCGCCAACACAGACAGUCUAAUAUUUAUUUCAGGGGAGAGAGAGCUAUGAUGCAAGUUGUCUGUGUUUGAUUGCAACUGAAGUGGGAGGAAAGGUGAAGCCCUGUGCAACACCGUUCUGUUUCAGUGUUGGUGCAAAAAUAUUUGGAAGUUUAACAAAAGAGCUCUGGCUGAAAAGAGAACGAAUGUCGCAUUUACAGAGAUGUUAAGUGCUUUUAUUUUUUUCAUAACAUAUUUUGUUAUUUUUAACAAGAUUAUUGAGUAAUGUACAUCUAACCAGUCAAUCCUGAGCUGCGACAGCAGUGGAUUGAUUAGUUUUCAGUACAUAAUAUUGUAAAAACUUGCAUUAGCCAAAUAAACAUGAAACUAAACUGUC